This 315-nucleotide ribosomal RNA is filed under the name Pantomorus cinerosus. RNAcentral describes it as "partial 12S ribosomal RNA". The record is from RNAcentral. Lineage: Eukaryota; Metazoa; Arthropoda; Insecta; Coleoptera; Curculionidae.
UUAUUUUAAAUAACAAAUUUUACCAGGUUAGUAGUAGUUAUGUUCUUGAAAAUUAAAAAAGAUGGCGGUAUUUUAGUCUAUUCAGAGGAACCUGUCCUAUAAUCGAUGGUCCACGAGUUAAUAUACUUAUUUUCUAAGUUUACAUAUCGCCGUAGGUUGAAUAUUCUUUAAGGAAAAAUAACGUUCAAGAGGUUUUUAAAGUGAAUAAAAAUCAGGUCAAGAUGUAGCAAAUAAAUAAGAAGAGAUGGGUUACAAUAAAUAUAUUUAUAACGAAUUAAUAAAUGAAAUUUAUUAAGAAGGAGGAUUUGAAGGUAA